AUGUCGCAGGAACAGUUGCAAAGUCAAGCACUCAGAAUAGAGCAGCCGAGGAAACAAUUGGAAGCAGAGAAGGAGAAAACCAGACAAUUGAAAGAAUUGCAGCUACACAACUUGCCUCCCGUCAGAACUAGCAAACCAGCAGCCCCUCCUGGAUAUGCACAACAAGGUAGGACAUAUCAGGCAAGUCCUUUGGGCACUCCAGUCACAGCCAGACAACCUACAUACAAUUCCGCUUUUCAGCAAUACUAUCAGCAAAAUAGAGACAGGCAACUGUGGCAGGGUUAUGCAAAAACCUAUGAACAAGAUAUGCAGUGUCAGUUCAUAAAGUCUCUGACAAAAGGACCUAAAAUGGAUUUUCCUAGAUUUGAAGGAGAAGACCCUGUUGGUUGGAUCAGACAGUGCAACAAGUACUUUCAAUUGUCUGGAGCACCUGAGGAAUAUAAAGUUUCUUUGGCUCUGCUAUAUAUCAUUGGUGAAGCAGAUGUUUGGCUAAGAAGAUCUAGUCUACUAAAGAAGGAAGUAUCAUGGAAGGAAUUUUGUACAAAGAUCACCAAAAGAUUCUCUACACAGGGCCCUUAUGACUUGACUGAAAAGUUUAAUUCAGUGAAACAGUCUAACAGCACAGUGUCUGAAUACACAUUUUUUGUGAAGAUCUUAUGGCUGAUGUACAAGAGGAAACUCCAGAGUUAG
RNAcentral lists this ribosomal RNA (690 nucleotides) under Triticum aestivum (bread wheat). RNAcentral's name for it is "partial small subunit ribosomal RNA". The record is from RNAcentral. Lineage: Eukaryota; Viridiplantae; Streptophyta; Magnoliopsida; Poales; Poaceae.